RNAcentral lists this long non-coding RNA (469 nucleotides) under Carica papaya (papaya). Its description in RNAcentral is "long non-coding RNA (CPAP_LNC005073)". The record is from RNAcentral. Lineage: Eukaryota; Viridiplantae; Streptophyta; Magnoliopsida; Brassicales; Caricaceae.
AGAAGUUUGGUCCUGCACGCUGAAGAAGGAAAAAGAGGCAUAUAGGGCUCUCUGUCCUCCUGCCUAUUAAAAAAAAGAAUAGAUUAGAAAGGAGGAAGAGAAACAGAGUCAAAUAAGUAGAGAGAGAGAGUGAGUUGCAAAGAUAGAGAAAGCAGUUUGGGGAGAAAGAGAGAGAGAGAACAGGAAGGAACAUACUAGAUUGGUGGUGAGGCAGGUUUGGUGCAUACGGCAUGUGGCGUGCGGUACGACAAAGUGGCCCAUAACUAGAAGGCCGAAAAGAGAGAACAUGGGUUGCUGCAUGUAGAGAAGAAGGAGAACCACAGUGUGGCUAGGUGCGGUUCCAUGCAUCCAUACCUUUCUUCAGCGCGAUUUUGUAAUAUCUGAGCCAGAUCUGCAUGUGUGGCUCAUUCUGUGAUGAUUAUUGGCUAAAGCAUGGUGACACGAGGGUGGUUUUUGUGACGUGUGCUGG